RNAcentral lists this long non-coding RNA (492 nucleotides) under Anser brachyrhynchus (Pink-footed goose). RNAcentral's name for it is "lncRNA (ENSABRG00000008391.1)". The record is from RNAcentral. Lineage: Eukaryota; Metazoa; Chordata; Aves; Anseriformes; Anatidae.
UAUUACCCAAACUUCAUAGAAUGGUGUUAGGCAACAGCUCUAAAAAGAAGUUAAUGUUUGUACAGUUAUAGCACAGCUCCGGUGGCUUUUUAAUGCUACUAUUUAGCAUGACUUAGUGCGUGAGAUAGAGAAGAUCCCCCAAAGUAACAUUGCUGUUAGUGAACCAGAUUUGAACCAACUCAGAAUGGGAAGUGCCAACUAAAGGGUGAUGUGACUCAAACAAGGUAUUUUACCUCUCUGAUGAGAUAGGUGAAACCCUUAAUCAAGGCUGGGAUGCUGUUAUCAUAACAUAUAAAGAAGCUUUUCAUCACAAAGAUCCGGCUUAGAAUCCAUUUCCUGUGUGAAAGGUACAGGCUAUGUUGUUGCUAGAACAGUGGUAGUGGGAGAUAAGGUGCUUCAUUUGUAAAACUGAUUUCUUUGUGUCAUCGGGCAAAUAUGUGUUACAUGUACUUAUGGUGAAGUGCUCCAUGUUUUUGUUGCUGUUUCCUUUGC